RNAcentral lists this ribosomal RNA (365 nucleotides) under uncultured bacterium. RNAcentral describes it as "partial 16S ribosomal RNA". It matches the Rfam family "Bacterial small subunit ribosomal RNA", at positions 282 to 658 of the family's 1533-position model. The record is from RNAcentral.
GGUAGCCGGCCUGAGAGGGCGACCGGCCACACUGGGACUGANACACGGCCCANANUCCUACNNNAGGCAGCANNGGGGAAUAUUGCGCAAUGGGCGGAAGCCUGACGCAGCGACGCCGCGUGGGGGAUGACGGCCUUCGGGUUGUAAACCUCUUUCGCCAGGGACGAAGCGCAAGUGACGGUACCUGGAUAAGAAGCACCGGCCAACUACGUGCCAGCAGCCGCGGUAACACGUAGGGUGCGAGCGUUGUCCGGAAUUAUUGGGCGUAAAGAGCUCGUAGGCGGUCUGUCGCGUCGGUCGUGAAAACUUGGGGCUUAACCCUGAGCUUGCGGUCGAUACGGGCAUGACUGGAGUUCGGCAGGGGA